This 450-nucleotide ribosomal RNA is filed under the name Triticum aestivum (bread wheat). RNAcentral's name for it is "partial small subunit ribosomal RNA". Lineage: Eukaryota; Viridiplantae; Streptophyta; Magnoliopsida; Poales; Poaceae. The record is from RNAcentral.
AUGGUUAAGCUGUCACCUCACGGACGACCUCCCUCCGGUGCCCUUGCGGACGAGAUGCCCGGCGCCCUUGACGGCCGGCGCCCGCGCGGACAUGUACCUCGCGCCAUCCGCCCCGCCCAACCCUGCAAUCCAAACCGAACCACCGGUGAGAUCCGCCCUCCCAUGCCACGCGCGGGGAGGCCGACGGGUGGCCACGGGGAGAUCCCUCCCCGGGCCGCGCGCAUCUCGGCCGAUGCGUACGUACCUUGGGGCCCGAGCGCCGGCUGGGCGGCGGAUCUGAAGGCGGCGAUGGCGGCCGAGGAGGCCGGGGAGAGGUGGUGCUGGUCGAGGAGGUGGCGCCGCGUCGCCGCCGCCGCCGCCUGCAUCGUCGCCGCCGUCGGUGGUGGUCGUCGGAGUCGGACGAGGGGAGGGAAGAGGAGGCCGAGACCCGAGAGCUGUGGUGUGUGGUGA